Molecule: ribosomal RNA, 497 nt
Filed under: uncultured bacterium
Lineage: Bacteria
Description: partial 16S ribosomal RNA
Rfam family: Bacterial small subunit ribosomal RNA
Source: RNAcentral
GAUGAACGCUGGCGGCGUGCCUAAUACAUGCAAGUCGAGCGAACAGACGAGGAGCUUGCUCCUCUGACGUUAGCGGCGGACGGGUGAGUAACACGUGGAUAACCUACCUAUAAGACUGGGAUAACUUCGGGAAACCGGAGCUAAUACCGGAUAAUAUAUUGAACCGCAUGGUUCAAUAGUGAAAGACGGUUUUGCUGUCACUUAUAGAUGGAUCCGCGCCGCAUUAGCUAGUUGGUAAGGUAACGGCUUACCAAGGCAACGAUGCGUAGCCGACCUGAGAGGGUGAUCGGCCACACUGGAACUGAGGCACGGUCCAGACUCCUACGGGAGGUAGCAGUAGGGAAUCUUCCGCAAUGGGCGAAAGCCUGACGGAGCAACGCCGCGUGAGUGAUGAAGGUCUUCGGAUCGUAAAACUCUGUUAUUAGGGAAGAACAAAUGUGUAAGUAACUAUGCACGUCUUGACGGUACCUAAUCAGAAAGCCACGGCUAACUACGUG